RNAcentral lists this ribosomal RNA (408 nucleotides) under Ommatissus lybicus. Its description in RNAcentral is "eukaryotic LSU rRNA". The record is from RNAcentral. Lineage: Eukaryota; Metazoa; Arthropoda; Insecta; Hemiptera; Tropiduchidae.
GAACUUUGAAGAGAGAGUUCAAGAGUACGUGAAACCGUUCAGGGGUAAACGGAAAAGAUCCGGAAUGUCGAAAGGAGAGAUUCACGUCUUUACCGGACGUCGGCCAGCUGACCGCCGGAUGGUAUCCGCUUGAAGCCCGGCCUCGGCCGCGGUCGAAGGCGGAUCCACCAGCGCGGACGGCGCGGUCCGGCGCCGGAGGACCGCACUUCUCUUCCUGUAGGACGUCGCGACCCGUUGGCUAGCGGUCUACGGGCCGGGGUGGCAGCCUCAAAUCGGCCCCUCGUCCAGGCGGGGUGCGCCGGCUUGAGACCCCCGGCGCCCGGCCGACCAGCUGACGGUAUGAAAAGAUGGUGCGCGGACCGAGCUCUGCUCGGCCCGGUCGCAAGCGUUGCGUUACUGCGGGUGGUU